CCUACGGGCGGCAGCAGUGGGGGAUAUUGCACAAUGGGGGGAACCCUGAUGCAGCGACGCCGCGUGGGUGAAGAAGCGCCUCGGCGCGUAAAGCCCUGUCAGCAGGGAAGAAAAUGACGGUACCUGAAGAAGAAGCCCCGGCUAACUACGUACCAGCAGCCGCGGUAAUACGUAGGGGGCAAGCGUUAUCCAGAUUUACUGGGUGGAAAGGGGGCGCAGACGGCGCUGCAAGCCAGGAGUGAAAGCCCGGGGCCCCACCCCGGGACUGCUCUUGGAACUGCGUGGCUGGAGUGCAGGAGGGGCAGGCGGAAUGCCUGGUGUAGCGGUGAAAUGCGUAGAUAUCAGGAGGAACACCGGUGGCGAAGGCGGCCUGCUGGACUGCAACUGACGUUGAGGCCCGAAAGCGUGGGGAGCAAACAGGAUUAGAUACCCCUGUAGUC
This 440-nucleotide ribosomal RNA is filed under the name uncultured bacterium. RNAcentral describes it as "partial 16S ribosomal RNA". It matches the Rfam family "Bacterial small subunit ribosomal RNA", at positions 338 to 795 of the family's 1533-position model. The record is from RNAcentral.